RNAcentral lists this ribosomal RNA (497 nucleotides) under uncultured bacterium. RNAcentral's name for it is "partial 16S ribosomal RNA". It matches the Rfam family "Bacterial small subunit ribosomal RNA", at positions 28 to 507 of the family's 1533-position model. The record is from RNAcentral.
GAUGGACGCUGGCGGCGUGCCUAAUACAUGCAAGUCGAGCGAACAGACGAGGAGCUUGCUCCUCUGACGUUAGCGGCGGACGGGUGAGUAACACGUGGAUAACCUACCUAUAAGACUGGGAUAACUUCGGGAAACCGGAGCUAAUACCGGAUAAUAUAUUGAACCGCAUGGUUCAAUAGUGAAAGACGGUUUUGCUGUCACUUAUAGAUGGAUCCGCGCCGCAUUAGCUAGUUGGUAAGGUAACGGCUUACCAAGGCAACGAUGCGUAGCCGACCUGAGAGGGUGAUAGGCGAAAGUGGGACUGAGACAGGGCGCAAAGGACUACGGGAGGCAGCAGGAGGGAAUGUGCCGCAAUGUGCGAAAGAAUGACGGAGCAAUGCCGCGUGAGUGAAGAAGGACUUCGGAUCGUAAAACGCGGUUAUAAGAGAAGAACAAAGUGGAGAGUAACUGCUACAGUCGGGACGGUAUCUGAUCAGAAAGCCACGGCUAACUACGUG